AUCCACUCUUCUGCUUUCAACUAACAGGAUUUCCACUAAGGAAGGGCAGCACCCUGAAUCUCUAUGAUUCCUUCAAGGCCAGCAGCCUUGGGACUUCAAUUCACUAAGAACUCUUCAAGGCCAGCAGCCUUAGGACUCUUCUAGUUCCCUAGGAACUCUUCAAGCCCAGCAGGCUUGGAACUUCGUUUAGUCCCUCUGGACAAGGACCCUUUGGCCCUACUUUGUUUAGUC
This 231-nucleotide long non-coding RNA is filed under the name Panax ginseng (ginseng). RNAcentral's name for it is "long non-coding RNA (PGIN_LNC005401)". Lineage: Eukaryota; Viridiplantae; Streptophyta; Magnoliopsida; Apiales; Araliaceae. The record is from RNAcentral.